RNAcentral lists this ribosomal RNA (462 nucleotides) under uncultured bacterium. RNAcentral's name for it is "partial 16S ribosomal RNA". It matches the Rfam family "Bacterial small subunit ribosomal RNA", at positions 338 to 795 of the family's 1533-position model. The record is from RNAcentral.
CCUACGGGAGGCAGCAGUGAGGAAUAUUGGUCAAUGGACGAGAGCCUGAACCAGCCACGCCGCGUGAAGGAUGACUGCCCUAUGGGUUGUAAACUUCUUCUAUAACGGAAUAAAACGAGGCACGUGUGCCUUUUUGCAUGUACUUUAUGAAUAAGGAUCGGCUAACUCCGUGCCAGCAGCCGCGGUAAUACGGAGGAUCCGAGCAUUAUCCGGAGUGACUGGGUGUAGAGAGUGGCGUAUGUGGCAUAAUAAGUAGCUAGGGAAAUCUGGGGGCUCAACCAUUCAGACUAUUAGCUAAACUGUUAAGCUCGAGAGCGUUAGGGGUAACUGGAAUUGCUAGUGUAGGAGUGAAAUGCGUAGAUAUUAGAAGGAACACCAAUAGCGUAGGCAGGUUACUGGGACGGUUCUGACACUAAGGCACGAAAGCGUAGGGAGCAAACAGGAUUAGAUACCCGUGUAGUC